RNAcentral lists this ribosomal RNA (274 nucleotides) under uncultured bacterium. RNAcentral's name for it is "partial 16S ribosomal RNA". It matches the Rfam family "Bacterial small subunit ribosomal RNA", at positions 404 to 670 of the family's 1533-position model. The record is from RNAcentral.
AGUGAAGAAGGUUUUCGGAUCGUAAAGCUCUGUUGUUGGUGAAGAAGGAUAGAGGUAGUCACUGGCCUUUAUUUGACGGUAAUCAACCAGAAAGUCACGGCUAACUACGUGCCACCAGCCGCGGUAAUACGUAUGUGGCAAGCGUUGUCCGGAUUUAUUGGGCGUAAAGCGAGCGCAGGCGGAAGAAUUACUCUGAUGUGAAAGCCCUCGGCUUAACCGACGAACUGCAUCUGAAACUGUUUUUCUUGAGUGCAUAAGAGGAGAGUGGAACUCC